This 1138-nucleotide ribosomal RNA is filed under the name Shigella flexneri. RNAcentral describes it as "partial 23S ribosomal RNA". It matches the Rfam family "Bacterial large subunit ribosomal RNA", at positions 198 to 1374 of the family's 2925-position model. Lineage: Bacteria; Pseudomonadati; Pseudomonadota; Gammaproteobacteria; Enterobacterales; Enterobacteriaceae. The record is from RNAcentral.
ACAUCUAAGUACCCCGAGGAAAAGAAAUCAACCGAGAUUCCCCCAGUAGCGGCGAGCGAACGGGGAGCAGCCCAGAGCCUGAAUCAGUGUGUGUGUUAGUGGAAGCGUCUGGAAAGGCGUGCGAUACAGGGUGACAGCCCCGUACACAAAAAUGCACAUACUGUGAGCUCGAUGAGUAGGGCGGGACACGUGGUAUCCUGUCUGAAUAUGGGGGGACCAUCCUCCAAGGCUAAAUACUCCUGACUGACCGAUAGUGAACCAGUACCGUGAGGGAAAGGCGAAAAGAACCCCGGCGAGGGGAGUGAAAAAGAACCUGAAACCGUGUACGUACAAGCAGUGGGAGCACGCUUAGGCGUGUGACUGCGUACCUUUUGUAUAAUGGGUCAGCGACUUAUAUUCUGUAGCAAGGUUAACCGAAUAGGGGAGCCGAAGGGAAACCGAGUCUUAACUGGGCGUUAAGUUGCAGGGUAUAGACCCGAAACCCGGUGAUCUAGCCAUGGGCAGGUUGAAGGUUGGGUAACACUAACUGGAGGACCGAACCGACUAAUGUUGAAAAAUUAGCGGAUGACUUGUGGCUGGGGGUGAAAGGCCAAUCAAACCGGGAGAUAGCUGGUUCUCCCCGAAAGCUAUUUAGGUAGCGCCUCGUGAAUUCAUCUCCGGGGGUAGAGCACUGUUUCGGCAAGGGGGUCAUCCCGACUUACCAACCCGAUGCAAACUGCGAAUACCGGAGAAUGUUAUCACGGGAGACACACGGCGGGUGCUAACGUCCGUCGUGAAGAGGGAAACAACCCAGACCGCCAGCUAAGGUCCCAAAGUCAUGGUUAAGUGGGAAACGAUGUGGGAAGGCCCAGACAGCCAGGAUGUUGGCUUAGAAGCAGCCAUCAUUUAAAGAAAGCGUAAUAGCUCACUGGUCGAGUCGGCCUGCGCGGAAGAUGUAACGGGGCUAAACCAUGCACCGAAGCUGCGGCAGCGACGCUUAUGCGUUGUUGGGUAGGGGAGCGUUCUGUAAGCCUGUGAAGGUGUGCUGUGAGGUAUGCUGGAGGUAUCAGAAGUGCGAAUGCUGACAUAAGUAACGAUAAAGCGGGUGAAAAGCCCGCUCGCCGGAAGACCAAGGGUUCCUGUCCAACGUUAAUCGGGG